Molecule: long non-coding RNA, 526 nt
Filed under: Elaeis guineensis (African oil palm)
Lineage: Eukaryota; Viridiplantae; Streptophyta; Magnoliopsida; Arecales; Arecaceae
Description: long non-coding RNA (EGUI_LNC024625)
Source: RNAcentral
GAUAGGGUCUUAGUCAAUUUAAAUCAGAUUUAAUUUGACUUGAUAUGGUUUGAAUUUGACUUAGAUUGAGUUUCAUUAGUCUAAUGGGAUUAGACUUAAUUUAUAUUGAAACUUAAACUAAGUUGGACUCCAAAUAUGAUUUGGAUUUGAACCCACACCACCCCUUAACCAAAUCCAAAGAAGAAUUCACACGUGAGAAGGACUCUCCCCUAUUUUUGGGAUGCCCAAAAUAUUUCUACGUUGCUUUUGGCAUGGAGAUAGGAAGAAAUAAAAUGGGAGGGGUGGCAACUAUUUUUAGAGUCCAAUCCUUGUUGGACUUUUCAAGCCCUAACUAACCCUAACCACCAGUAUUUAAAUAGGAGAAGUUGUGGGCGGCUCCUAAGGGAUAAGAAUAAGGGCUUUGACGCCCCAUAUGUGAAAAGGUGUGUGUGAGAUAGGGAGGACGCCAAGGUGGUUGGCAUGAAGGAUUUUUCAUGUAAGAGAAAGGAUGGGAUGCCCAUCUUCAACAUCCUUUCUUUCUAACAAC